RNAcentral lists this long non-coding RNA (21517 nucleotides) under Gossypium barbadense (sea-island cotton). Its description in RNAcentral is "long non-coding RNA (GBAR_LNC020339)". The record is from RNAcentral. Lineage: Eukaryota; Viridiplantae; Streptophyta; Magnoliopsida; Malvales; Malvaceae.
GGAAGUGAGGUAAAAUCAUUGAAAAAGGCUGAGAGUAAAGAGGCCCUUAGUGUUAAAAGCCAACUUAAAGGCCCAACAUUGGUGAGUGAUUGCACACACAAGUCACGAGAUGAGAAAGUGAGUUUAUUCGCUAGGUUUCGAGAUAUCAAAUUUGCUCCUUGUACAAAACAAACAUUUGUAAUUAUUAGGUUUAGGGAAAACUUUGUUUUGACUAACCCUAAUACAUAUUUGCCUAGUUGUUUUGUUGAUAUUUUGCAGGAUUUUGAGGAUGUAUUUCCUUCUAAGAGAAAGAAUAAACUUGAUGCACGAGGAGAUGGACCAUUCCAAGUACUUGAGAAAAUAAAUGACAAUGCUUAUCGCAUUGAUCUUCCUGGUUCAGAUUCGAGGACGAAUCUUCUUGAAGAGGGGGAGAAUGAUACGAGCCAAGGAGGUGACACUCAAAGGGUUGUCUUUCCUAGUGGUCCAAUCACUCGAAGCAAGGCACGUCAAUUAAAAACAAAGAUGAAUGCUUUUGUCCAAGACUUUGUUGCUACAAAUUUAAUUCAUCAUGUUCGUGACAUUGACAAAUACGAGAAUGCAAUUCACUGGACCAAUCUUGGAAUAGUGAAAGCCCAUAAAUUGGUGGAUUAAUCUUUUAUGUAUAUUAUUAUUAUUAUUAUUUACUUAAUUCUCAUUGGUUGGGACACAUCAUUUAUGAGUUAAGUAAUUUUAUUGGCUAGGUUAUUAUUUAUUUAUUUUCUUAGAUAAUUUUAAAGAGUUUUAUUAGGAUUCAAUUACUCUUUAAAGAGUUUUUAUCACGAUUCAAUUACUCUUGUAAUUUGCCUAUAAAUAGGCUUGUUUUCUACACAUUGGAGACAGAAUGAAAAAAGAGAUUAUUUAUUUUCUUCCAAAUUUGUGUGAGGCAAAUUUUUGAGAGUAGAGUGAUUCUUCUCUUGCUAUUUAGUUUGGAGUUUGUUAUUUUCGAGGGUAUUUCAGAGUUACAAAUAUUCAAAUUUCUUUCCCGUUCAUCGGUGUUUCUAGAGGUUCUUCUUCUAGGAGUUUCGUAGGGAGCCGCUCAAUCAUUGGCGUUUUUGGUUGCAAGUUAACCAAGGGUUCCAUAGGGCAAAUCUAUCCUUUUAUUAUUAUCAUUAUUAUUUAACUAAUUUAUUUAUUCUCGUUUUUAUUUCUAAUUUGUGUUUCUCUUGUGUCUAGAUCCGGGGUUUCCGCAUCAUAUAUAUAGGCGCAUACAUACAUAUUUAUAAUAUAUAUACGUACAUAAUCUUUUUUUAAUUUGUAUAGAUAUAAAUACUUAUAUGAUGUAUAUACUUUACACUUCAUAUAUAUAUGUACGCAUAUGCAUAUAUUUUUCAAUUUAUAUCUAUAUAUAUAUACAUACUUAUGUUCUUUUUAUGCUUUAUGAUUUAUAUAUAUACACAUAGAUAAGCAUAUUUGUUUUUUUAUAUAUAUGUAUAUACAUUCAUAUAAUUUAUAAAUUAUAAUUUAAAUAUGUAGAUAUACAUACAUAAUUAUUGAAACUUUCAUAAUUUGUAUUGCUAUCGUUGUUUUAUUUGAUAUUUAUUUAUUUAUGUGUUCCUUAUUAUUUUUAUGAAAUGCUUUAGUUCUUUUUUAUUUACUUAUUAUUUCAUGUAUAAUUGAUUUUUUAUUGUGUGUCUUUUUUGUUGUUGCUCGUAUUAUUUAUGCUUACAUUAUCAUAUUCAUCUUUGUUUAGUUACGCAUAUUAACAUCGUGUUUUAUUUUUACUAUUUUACGUUAAAUUGUUUUUAUUUAAUGUAUAAAUUAUGACUUUUUGAAUAAACAAAAUUUCGUGUUUAGAUUUGAAGAGGAUCGUACCCUAACUUACUGGGUUUCGAUUUUCACAAUAAAUCUAAAUGCACGAAUCUUCUCAAACUCAAGUUUUAAAUGAUCUCGGGAUUUAAAAGAAAAUCGCGUCCUAACUUAAUGGUCGUGAUCUCCUUUUUUAAAUACGAGAUUGCGAAAAUAUCUUUUAAAUAAGCAUUUUUUUACGUAUCGAGAGCUCGAGACAUUGUGUCCUAACUUACUGGAUAUGGUUCUCUUUCUCGAUUAAUGUGAAAUAUGCUUCUUUUCCCAAAAAUUUUCAUUUUAAUACAAGUAUUCCAAGUUUUCAGUUUUUCGACAUUAAAGACAUUAAAUCAACUAGGUAUCAAUUUUGGGUGUUACGAGGGUGCUAAUCUUUCCUUGUACGUAACCGACUCCCGAACCUAUUUUUCUGAAUUUCGUGGACCAAAAUCGUUGUUUUAAUAAAAUCAAACCGUUUAUUAAAACAACCACUUUUUGAGGUGAUCCAAUCACACCUCAUCAAAAAAAAAAGAUUGGUGGCGACUCUCGUUUUUGUUUACAAAAUUCAAAUCGACCCUGUUUUUAUUCAAAAAAUGGUGUCAACAAUUGGUAUUGGUUAGCUAUGGUUUAGGAGUCAGUUGUCUCACAACAUUGUUUUAGUUUCAAAUCGAGAAAGGUUUUUUCUUGGUAAGAGUUAGUUGUUGGGUUGUCCUCGUAGUUAAUUUUCAACUAUGAAAGAAUUAUGAAAUCUGGGGUUGUUUCUCGAUCUCUAUAAUCGACUUAUCGAUUGGAGGAGAAAAUUCAUUAUUCGAAAUCAGUUUGAAGUCGAAAUCAAAAUUGCGCUUAAGGCUAAAGUUUUCAUUUGUUUGUUUUAUUUAGAUUUAAUUGUGUUUUACUUAUUUUUAUUUCGUUUUUAUUUUUAUUUAAUUUCUAUUAUUUAUUUUAUAUUAGAUUUAAUCCUUUCUUUAAUUUUGUAGAUUGAUCUAACUUUAGUCAUAAGAAAUCGUAAAAUUAAUCAGUCUAGUCUUUGUGAGAUCAACCCUACUCACUGUACUGCAAAUUAAUUUAAUUUCAGUUUAGGUGUAGGAAUUUAUUUUUGGUGAAUUCGACAUCUGUCAGCCUUUAGUCUAAUCGAAAAUGAGUAAAUUAAUUAAAAGUCUAAUAUGACAUUUAUCAAGUCCAAUUGGGAGGAUUCCUUUUCUUGAGUAUUGAAAUGGAUGACUUCAAGAAAAUAGAGAUAUAUAUGUGAUUAACUAGAGUAAAAAUACAUAGGACAAAAUCUAAGUAGAAUAGAUUCUAAAUUUAUUUAUGAAUUUAUUCACUAAUAAUGCUUAUAGUGUGACAUGUCUUAAUCCUAAGUGGAUUAUGAGUUAUAUAUGUGUAAUUUGUAUACUUUGAUAUAAGUGUUAAAAGCUGAUAGAUUAAAUAUAUAACUUAUGUAGUAUGUAAUAUCAUUCGAUAACAGGGGGAAUGGCUAAAGAAAACUCUACAACAUGUUGAACAUUAUAAGAAGUUAAAUUCGUCCAGCAGAUUCAAAACUAAAAAGCUUAAAAUUAAAGCAGGUAAACGGCUAAAGGCAACUCCACCACUAGCAUUUGAUGCAGCAUAUACUCACUAUACUCACCUUUCAAAAAUUUUAGUUAUGCUAUUUAAGGCAUUGCAGCGGCACCUGGCAUGUAAUACAUACUAAUAGUAUAUCAAAAGCAACUCCAUUUAGCUCUAAGUGGUGAGGCCAGUUCACCGGCCACAUUUUUUACAGGUCAGGUGCUGGUGCAAUUGCAAAGCCUUUAAUUGUUAAAGGGAAAAUUACCGUUACAUCUGUAACGGAGCUACCAUUUUCCGUUAAUGAAAAUGCUAUUUUCCAUCUCUCUCCCUCUUCCCACAAUCUCUCCCCUACUUUGAUUUUCUCUCCCUCUCCCUUUCUUCUCCACCACCACUGCUAUUAGAAGCCUAACCACAUUGUCCUUCCAUUUCAUUCUCUUCCAUGGCCAUCCAUUCUUGCCUUUGCACUUCUCACCAUUUCCAUCUUCGUUGUAACUUGGUUCAUCUUCUUCACUCAUGCUUCCAUCAUUUCCUAGAUUCAUAUGCAAAGAACAAAGUGUAAAAUGAGAAGAACCAAUGUAUACCAUGUCAACAAGAAAGGCUGGUCAAGCUUGUUAAUGGGAUUCAAGAUAAUGUUGCUAUUUGUCACUACAUCAAGUUUUGGUCCCCAUUGAUAAGGAUAACCUUCACAAUAACAAAUAAUCGAAACUUAUUUUUUCUUAGAAACCCAAAAACAUACAUAUAAAAAAGCACAUUACUUUCAAAAACCCAAAACACAAUUUCAAAAUUUGACAGUUUAGAGAGUAGAGUAACCUACCGGGGAACUCCAAGAAUAGAACGGGUACUAUAAGUAACAGUCCAGGUGAAAUACAAGUAAGGGUAUUCAGCAUUCACCAAAGACAUGCCCAAAAUAGACAAAACACCAAAAACAAAAUGAGGAAUGAAGGAUUUCUCCAUUUCCCUUUUAUACCCUGAAAGCCAACCAAUGAAAAAAUUUUAAAAACAAAAACCUGGCAGAAAUGGGUUUAUCAGAAGACUAUCACCAUUAUCGGCUGAAAUAGAAACUCCUUGGAAAGUGAACUAUUUUAAGAACAAAACAGGGGAAAAAUAUGUAUAGACUAGAUGUUGGUGGAAGUAGAGUGGCCUUUUUAAAGCAAUUUGGAAGCUUAUGAUAAUUUCUUCCAGCUUAUGUUUAUUUUCACCGCUUUAAAAAGGCCAAAAAUGAAAAAGAAUGAAUCAUGUAAUAGACGAGAAGGAAAAUAAAAAUGGAAAUCUGGGUUAGGUUGAAAUAAAAAUGUACUCUAACUAAUCUGAUGUAAACUCAUAAGCCACAAACGUCACUGCACCAAUCUGAUGUAAGGAACAGAGUAAUAACAGCGUCGACGGUGGGGAUGAUGGUGAAGAAGGAAUGGGGGGAAGAGGGGGAGAGGGCAAGGUGGGGAGGUCUGAAAAAAAAUAAAGGGCCUUAUGAUAGGGGGAGGGAUGGUGGGGAAGAGGGAGAGGGAUGGAAAAUGACAUUUCCAUUGUUGAAUUGUAAAUUUUGGAAGGUGAGUAUGAUAAGUAUGCUGCAUUUGAUGCUGUUCCAUUGACAAGUUUGUUCUACUUAAUUAAGAGCCUUUCACUUUGCUAUAUCAUUAAAAGGAAAAGAAAAAGAAGAUACUGAUGUGCAAAACGGAUAAUUUUUAUUAUAAAUUAAUUCUUAAAAUAUGUACAAUAUUGAAAAUUUAUUAUUUUGAAGGGUUCCUACAAGACUUAUGAAUGUUGAGCUCCUUAUAUUUAAUAUGUUGGUUGUGAUCACUGAUGAGGACUCUAUUCUAACUAUAUCAUAUUUUUGUGUAAGUAGGAUCUGAAAUGUGGUAAAUUGAUCCUUAACAAGUAAGAUUUUUGUUGAAUAAUUUUUCAUUCUGUCUUAAUGAGGAAACAAUCAUGUAUUUAUAUAUGUUACUACCAUUCAUGGAAUUGACUCCAAUGUUCAUAGAACUAACAUUCUUAGCAGACUUUGAGUACAUUAAACACGUGUACUGUUUUAGACUAUUUGCUGGACAAUCCUCAGGCUCCUACGAGCCAAGACAUGCGAGCUCCCCUUGCAAUCUCCUCUUGUCUUGUGCGAGUUGAGUCUACACUCUGCAAGCUUUCUUUGCGAACACACUUUGCGAGCUCCAUGCUGUAAGACUUGCAUGUAUCCAAUUGUGAUAAUUUAAAAAUAUUGAUAAUUAAAAUUUUCUACUUACAGUAAGUAAAACCAGAUAGAUUGGGUUUUUUAAGUUUUAGAAAAAAAAAUCAUGUUUGAUAAAAACAAAAUAUUAUUUGCUAUAAAAUAUUUAAAUCAAUUUUAGUUAUAAAAUAUAUUUUAGAUUAGUGUAUUAAUAUAUUAAGAUAAAUGAAGGCAUGCAAAGAGGAGACACCAAAUUUACGUGGAAAACCCUUCUAUAUUCUGAAUAUAGAAGGGAAAAAAAACCACGGGAAAAAAGCCAUCACUAUAAUUCAUAUGUGGAGUUACAUUUGAAGACAUUUACAUCAACUCCAAUCGGAGUUCAAAAAGUUGUCCAGUUCUUGCAAUGUGAUGAAACUAUUGGCGUUGACAUCCUCACGAGCUUCUUCCUGAAUAUGCAAAUCAAUACCAGUUCUUAGGCUUGAGAAUCAAAUAUAUAAGCAUGCAUGAACAAGCUUUAUGAAUAUAUAAGCUAAAUCAUAAACAUGUAAAAAUAUAAAACGAAAAUAGAGCAAGGGUUAGGCAGGUACCAGAUGGUGAGAAUUAUAAUCAGGCACUCCAAGAUUGCCACCAACACCUGCCGACGUCCAAGGGUUUGGUUGUUGGUUUAAACAUGCAGUGAAGGGUGGUGACGGUGAGAAGCCUCCUGCUUCUGGAGCCAUAUAAUCAAAUGACUGAUUCCCCAGGGGCACGAAAGCAAAAUGAUUUGUUGAAGUCGACGGCACCUCCAUCAACUUACGUUUCUUUUUCUUGUUGAUUUCUCCUUCACAUUCUUCGUAAUCCGGGCUCACAACAGCAGCAUCCUUAUUCUUAAUCUCACAGAUAACAUAAUCACUCAAACCAAGAGCUUCUUGGUCUUUCAAGGAGAACUCAUGCAUGCUCCAUUGACCAUUUGAUUUCUGGCUUUUCUUGCGGGUGUACUUGAAGUAUUUAUCAUACCCUAUGACUUCGCCGCCGUCCGAGUUCUUCACUUCUUUGAUAUAUUGUUGGAGCCAACAUCCAUCUCCCGCGGUUCUUUCGAUUCUUGAUUUGCUCUUCUUCUUCAGCUUCGUGAUAACCCAGAAAGACUCUUCUGCCGAAUCUUGGUUGAAAAUAUUCCAAGGCUCGCGAUUUUCUCCAUAAAUAUCCAACUCCUCCAUCACACCAGCAGGUAUGGGGUCGCCCUUGAUGAAUGGUUGAAGGUAAUCGCAAAGGAUUUCUUCUUUGGUGGGAAGAAAUCGAAACCCUACAGGAAUCUGAAGCUGCGGGCUAACAGUUGACAUGAUCGUUAAGGCGGUGGUGAUCGACGACGAGAAAGAUGAGAUCAAUUUCAAAAAUUUUCUAUUUUAUAAUUUACAUAUAAAUCCUUUUGUAUCAAAUAAUUUGUUUAUAUAUAUUAUUUUAAAAUAAAUAAUAAUAAUUCGUUAAUUCAAAUUUCAUAAUAUGAAAUUUACAAUUUUAACUUCAUUCAAAAUUUUAAUUAUAAAAUUCUUUUACUCAAAUUAAAUUAUAAUUUUUGCAAUAAAAAUAACAUUUUACUUUUAUUAAUUUUAAAUUUAAAAAAAAAAGUUAGAAAAUCCAUAUGAAUUUUUUCGCGCACUCUUAGUGUCGCCGCUGCAUGUAGUGUGAAUGUAGCUUAAUAUUCAAAAGAAACUGAAGCAAAAACAAAUGGAUUAAUAAAUAUAAAAUUAUAUCAGGAAAUCAGCUUAAUCCUUUUGGUCUUAACAUACCUUCUUUGUUGUAGUUAAAGCCACGGACUCGCCGGAAAGUCCCUCGUACCAGUGUCGACACGCCGGAACAUGCAAGGACACGGGAUUUUGGUGGUUGAAAGUCGUUAAAAACAUCAGAAUAGUGAUAGAAAAUCUCUGUUUGAAACCUAAAUCUGCACAUCAUCAUUAAGAUUUUCUAUAAUCUAAUAUGGUGCAUGUUCUUAGGAGGUUCAGAGAGGUAUAAUGAGGGUAUUUUUGAAUAUUUCGACACCGUUGACGGCGGCCGGAGUGGUAGCGGAGGGUCUAAUGAGGUUCCGAAAGAAAAAGUAAUUGCUUGAAGAUGUCAUCGUUUAACCCGUCGAGUAUCUAUGAACUUCUUAACAAAAAAAUCAUUUAAAUGACAAUUUUGCCCAUAGACAGGUGUCAUCUUCUCAACCUUUAGAUAUGAAGGAGUUUCCCACUACUUGCAUGGGAAUUCCCACCAAUGUUCUUAACACUUGUAAUGUGAUAAUGGAAAAAAGAGAAGAAUUUGUUUGUUAACAGUUUCGUGUUUAAUUACUAGUAAUCGAUGUGGGAUGUUAAUAUCAUUUGAUGUGUUCUUUGUUUUGUUUAGGAUUAGCAGCAUUUGCAUAAGAAUCGUUUGCAAGAAUAUGCUCAGAGAUCCAGGGUCGGUCUCCCUGUUUACCAUAGCUUCAACGAAGGGUUUGCGCAUGCUCCGAGGUUCAAAGCCACCGUUCGAGUUGGUCGAGUCACUUACACUUGUAGGCUGACUUUUCCACACCGGAAAGAAGCUGAGCAAAACGUUGCUCGGGUUCAAAGCCAUUAAACAACUACUGAUUGUUGAUCUAGUAAGCCCUUCUGAAUAACCUGUUAUUGUUGUGGUAAGUCAUUUCAUCUCAUUAAAAAUGGUAAAAACUAGUGUUAGGACAUGGUGAAGCUUUGAAAUGCUGUAAUGAUCCAUUAACCAAGCCUAGGAAUGACACCUAACGCUAAUGACCUUGUCCUGCCAACUUACGUUGUAAGCGUCCGAGUGCUGAUCCCAAUCAUCGUACGAAACAAGCGGAAUCCGCAGUACGAGGAGCGUGAUCGGAAGAAAAUGCGAAUUGGUCGGCAGUAGGUUUGUGUUUCUCCAUUUUGAUCGUCUCCUACUAAUGCUUAAGUUGAGUGCAAGGGGGCUAAAGCUACAAUGUUGAAUUGAACUUGACAUGCAUAUAUAUAUUCCAUUUGAUUGGUUGUAGGUUUUGUCUACCAGGAGGAGAGAAGAAAAGUUAUUGGGAAUUCUAUAAGAUAGGAAGGGAACUUUGAAGCCAUCCACAUGGAUUCAAUGUGCUUUGUAUGUUCUGAUUAUAAAUAUGGGCUGUAGGCAUAGAUGUUUAUAGGUUGGGUCCAAUCAAAAUUUUAGACAUAUUUGUUAAGUUAGCUCGGCUAAAAAAAUUGACCUAAAAUUUUGUCCAAAUUCAGCUCGGAUAAAAUGUUAAAAUUCAAGUCCGGCAUGCCCGUAUUAAUUUUUAUAUUAAUUUUGUUAAAUAAUUAUUUUAAAAUUAUAAUACAUAAAAAAUAUUAAAAAUAUUAAAAUAAAUAUUUCCCUACAAAUUGAAAAUAAAUUUAAAAAUAUGUAUAUUUAAAUAACACUAAGAUAAGUGCAACUUAACUAGCAAAUAUCUCUAAAAUAGUAACAAAAUUAACAAUAAAACAAGAGUUAUACAAUAUCCAAACAAUAACAAUCAAAUAGUAACAAUAUAAUAGUCAAAUGGUAGCAAAACAGUAAAAUACAACAAUAAAAAAUUGCAACAAAACAGUAAAAAAAAUAACAAAUUUUUUUGUAUAUUCGAGCCGGUAUUGGGCAAAAAAGCCUUACUCAAGACUAAUCUAUUUUCUAAACAGACCUUAUUUUUUUGUAUGAGCCAUUUUUCUCGCUUAUACUUUUAAUCAAAUUCUCCUACUUUUUGAGUGGGCCUUCGGAUUGAGUGGCCCAACCUAUAGACAAGUCUAGUUGUAUAACCUUAUUCUUCUAUUUGGAACUCGUUUGUAUCGUGUUGAAUAUGUUGAAAGUGUGCACUAAAAAUGAAGUCACCAACAUAUGUUACUUUCCACUUCAGAGGUAAUUGGUUUUGCAUGUGCAUGCGCAGCGAGAAGCUAAGAAAUUACUUUUAAGGCAGAGAUUAAUGAUAAAAUUUAGGGGAUAAAAUAUAAAUUUAUUAUUAUACUUAGAUAUAAUUUUAUAAAUUUUAAAAGGGUAAAAUGCCAAAGUUACCAUUUUGGGACAAGGCGACUGCGUCAGUACUGUGUCUUUGCCCUAUUGUGUGCAUUGUGAUAUAUUUGUAGGUGUUUAUGUAGCACAUUAAGUUUCGUUGUCUAACAUACGUACGUAAAAUUUGCUUGGCAUAGGCAAAUCCAAAAACACUACAAAACAGAAGGGGUAAAGUAACAUUUAGACCAUGAUAUGAUGAUGUGAUACACUCUCAAAAUAUUAUGUCAUCAACUGGAUCAAAUUUGAAAAAAAUGGCUAAAUUUAAGGAGUAAUACGGACCCAAAUAAAUUUAGUGAUUAAAUUAAAAUUUUUUUUAUCAAAUUUAGAGACCAGUGGUGUGUUUGAUAAACUUUUGAAAGCUUUCAUUUAAUAUUUGAAUGUGUUUGAUAAUCAUUUUAAUUUUUAUUUAAUAUAAUAUUUUCAACAAAGAAAUGUUAAAUAAGAUAAGUAGAUAGGUAACUAUUUAUCAAAAAUAUUAAAUUGAUUUUAUUUUAUUAAAAAAUUGAAAUAAAUUAUAUUUUUAAAAAAUUAGAUAUUCAAAUUAACAUAUUAUAAUUUAUCUAAAAUAAUAUAAAAUAUUAUAUUCACAAGAUUAAAAUUAAAUAAUAAAUAGCCUUUUUAAAAUUAAUAUUUAUUUUUAUCAAACAACAUAGUUUGUCGAUAUCAGGCUAAUCCUGGUCCAAGACACUGACAAACAUUAAAACAAGUACUCAAGUAUUUAUGAAGUACACUAGAUUAUAUGCUUGUGUAUUUUGGAGGGAGACCAUACUCCUAUUAGUUAUACAAAUUCUGAAUUCCAAACGUGUUAGGAUUUGAGAAAAUCAACAUCAAACUGUGUCUUUAUCCUAGACGACAGAUCAAUAGUGUGGAGAAAUGCCAAGCACAAUUGCACUGCUAAUUUCACUAUGGAGGCCGAAUAUGUGACUACUUUCGAGGCAAUAAAAGAAGUAAUAUGGCUUCAGAAGUUCCUUAUGGAUCUUGAAACCGGUCUUGGUAAGGGAAAACUAUCAUAUUGUAUUGUGACAAUAAUGUUACAAUAGCUAAAACCAAGAAACCUGAAACCAUAAGAGAACAAAACACAAGAUAGAAAGUAUGACAUCACAAGUGAGGUAGUAGAAGAUGAAAUACUGGAUAUAAUCAAAGUCACAUCAGAAGAUAACCUUACGGAUUCUUUACCAAAACCGUGGUGGUUAUGAGUUUUGAGAAACAUGUAAAGGGUAUGAGAAUACGAAAUAUGACUCAUUUACUUCACUAGAGCAAGUGAGAUAUUGUCAGUAUCUAGUACGCUUAAUGUAUAUGAAUUAGUAUUUUUCAAACAAAUUAGUUUAAUAAAAAUAUUCAUCAAUUUCAUUAAUCUCUUUAUAUAUUGCCCUCUACGGUCUUGUGCAUGCAAAACAAAAUGAAAUAAAAUAUUAACCCAUUAAUUAUCUAAUGUUUAACUAAUACUAGACGGUACUACGUGAACGAAUCGUAAUAUGAAAAGACAACUUAUGUUACUAGAUAACUUAAACCCACUCUUGACAAUAAACUUAAUUGACAUAUAUUACUAUUUAUUUUAAUUAAUUUUGAAUGAUUUUGACAUUUUAUUGGUAAUAUUAUUUAAUGUGAAAAAAUUAAUUUGAGUUGUGGGCUACAAGGAAGAUUUUACAUGAGAACUAGAGUGGAGCCCACCAAUAUUCCUAAAUUUUAAGACUAUAUUAAUAAUUAUUUUAAAGGGAAAUUAAAAUUCCAUAUAUUUUAUUUUAGGGUUUAUUAGUCUAUAUAUAUAAUAAUACUAAACGGAGGCGUUUUUGCAACCACCCAAAACCAUUGUCCUUUUUUUUUAUUUAUUUAUUUAGUAAAUUUUCUUUGUGUUAUUUUAUAUCUUUAUCCUUCAAGUACCUAGUUAACUUUGAUCUAAUUUUAAGUCAUUAUUUAAUUAAUGUUUGGAUUGUGAAACUUCGAAUUCACAUUUAUUAUUUUUCAUAUUGUUAUUGUGGUUAGCUAUGGUUUAGGAGAUAAAUCAAUUGUUUUAGCUUCAAAUCGAGAAAGGUUUUUUUUGUUGGAUAAGGGUUAGCUGUUGGGUUGUUCACGUAAUUAAUUAAGAAAUGUACGUAUAUAUACAUCAAAGUUUGAAACUAAAAUAAAAAAUAAUAAUAAGUAAAUAAUAAUAAUAUUAUUAACAAAAUAAUGAAUUAAUCUAAAAUUUAAAAAUCAUAAAAAAACAUAUAAGUAAAUAAAUAAAAAUAUAUGGGAAAACCAAAAUAUCUUUAAACUUGUUACAUAAAUAUAAAUAGAAAUAUAUAAAUAAUAUCAAUAAUAAUAGUAAUAAUAAUAUUAUUAAUUAAUUAAAAAAUAACAAGUUUAAAGGACUAAAUCGAACUAAAAUACGGAAAUUUGGGGCGGAUUCGAAAUAAAUAAAAAAGGAGGGAUUGAUUUGAAUGCGCGAAUAACAUAGAGGGUCUGGAAGGGAAAUUUUCGCUUCUCCUCUAAAACGGCGUCCUUCAAAUAGGACUAAAUUGAUAUUAGAAAUAAACUAAAGGGACAAUUUUAAAAAUAUGAAAAAACUGAUUGAGAAAACAUUAAAAAGCGGAGGGGCUAGAAGUGAAAUUUUCCCCUCCGUGAAAGCACGCGGAUCCUGGAGCAGGCUGGUCGGGUUCGGGUCGGAUAACAUCAAAACGACGCCGUUUUGGUGCCUGAAGCUCAGGCCCAAAACGACGUCGAUUAAGAAGCCUAUUUAAGGUAAAAAAUCUGAAAAAAAAUCAUUUUAACCAGCUUUAAAAAAAAACAUCCUUCCCCUUUUUUCUCUCAAGGCCCUCUACCUCCGGCCUGGAUUUCGGCCGUGGCUUUAAAAAAAAAAUUUUUUUUAUUUUGUUUUUGUUUUUUGUUGCUAUAUACUGAUAUAUAUAUUAAAAGAAACAAAGUAAAAAAAAUCUAAAUAAAAACACUAAAAAGAGGGUUUUUAAAAAACCUUGCUUUCAGGAUUUUCUUUUCUGAUCUCUUACAUUUUUUCCUUGAAUCUCUUCUUUUAUUCCCCCCCCCCCAAAAAAAAGAAAAGGGAUCCCCUCUUACAAUGUUCGAAUGGCCUUAUAGGUAGAGCCAUUUUACAAUUUUUUUAUUAUUUGCUUGCUGUAGUUUCUCUCUAAUUUUGCAGGUGCAAGUGGGUGGAGUUGAUGCGGCGCUACAGGCGACGGUGGUGACAGGCGGUCAGGGGUAGGUGCGGCAGUGGCAUGGGCAGUGGUGGCUAAAGGCAGUAGGCUAGGGUUUCAGUUUUCUGAAACCCUAGUUUGACUAUUGGAAAUUUGGGUUGGGUCUAAUUUGUUAGUGGGCUUAUUGGGCCGAUUGCAUUGGGCUGUUUGGGUUAGUCUAGGUGGGUUUGGUAUUUGGGCUUGUAAUGGGUUAUUUGGGUAUUGGGUAGGUUUGGGUUUGUUGGUCCUCGGGUAAAUUUGGGCUGUACAUGGUGGAUUCGACAUCUAUCAACCUUUAGUCUGAUAAAAAUGAGUAAAUUAAUUAAAAGUCUAAUAUGUCAUCUAUCAAGUCUAAUUGAGAGGAUUCCUUUUCUCCAGCUUCGGAGUGGGUGACUCCAAGAAAAUAGAGAUAUAUAUGUGACUAACUACAUUGAAAACAUAUAGGAUAAGAUCUAAGUAGAAUAGAUCCUAAAUUUAUUUAUGAAUUUAUUCACUAAUGACGCUUAUAGUGUGACAUGUCUUAAUCUUGAGUGAAUUAUUAAUUUUGUAUGUGUGAUUCAUAUACUUUGAUAUAAAUGAAAAUUUUUAUUUUAAAUAAAUAAAAAAUUUAAAGCUAAUAGAUUAAAUAUAUAACUUAUGUAGUAUGUAGUAUCAUUCGAUAACAGGUGAAUGGCUAAAGAAAACUCUAUAACAUGUUGAACAUUAUAAUUACUUAAAUACGUCCAGCAGCUUCAAAACUAAAAAGGUUUAAAAUUAAAGCAGGUAAACGGCUAAAGGAAACUCCACCACUAGCAUUUGAUGCAGCAUAUAUUCACUAUACUCAACUUUCAAAAGUUUUAGUUCUGCCAUUUAAGGCUCUGCAGCAGCACCUGGCAUGUAAUACAUACUAAUAGUAUAUCAAAAGCAACUCCAUUGGUGAGGUCAGUUCACCGGCCAGAUUUUUUACAGGUUAGGUGCUGGUGCAAAGCCUUUAAUUGUUGAAGGGUAAAUUACAUCAACUAUCACUUAAUUUUAGGCUAGUUAACAAAGCAUUCAUUCAAGUUUUAAUUCAGUCACUUAAUUUUUGAAAUAUAUCAAAACAAUUACAACUAACUAUUUUAGAUGUAACGAAGCUACCAUUUUCCGUUACAGACUUAAUAGAAAUGCCAUUUUCUAUCCCUCUCCCUCUUUCCACAAUCCCUACCCUACUUUGAUUUUCUUUCCCUCUCCCCUUCUUCCCCACCACCAGUGCUAUUAGAAGCCUAACCACAUUGUCCUUCCAUUUCAUUUUCUUCCAUGGCCAUCCAUUCUUGCCUUUGCACUUCUCACCAUUUCCAUCUUCGUUGUAACUUGGUUCAUCUUCUUCACUCAUGCUUCCAUCAUUUCCUAGAUUCACAUGCAAAGAACAAAGUGUAAAAUGAGAAGAACCAAUGUAUACCAUGUCAACAAGAAAGGUUGGUCAAGCUUGUUAAUGGGAUUCAAGAUAAUGUUGCUAUUUGUCACUACAUCAAGUUUUGGUCCCCAUUGAUAAGGAUAACCUUCACAAUAACAAAAAAUCAGAGCUUAUUUUUUCUUAGAAACCCAAAAACAUACAUAUAAAAAAGCACAUUACUUUCACAAUUUCACAAUUCCAUGAAUUUUACAUCUUUUUAAUUUAGUCCUUAAAUCAUAAUUUUAUCAAAAUUCCCUUUACAAAAGUUGUUUAUCUAUCAACAACAUUUCAUUUACUACCAUAAAACAUCAUAAUUAAACUAUAUUCAUCCAUGAAAAAACCCUAAUACUUUGAUAACUUUACAAAUUAAUCCCUGAGAUAGCUAAAUUAAGCCUUUACGAUCUCGAAAAUAUAAAAAUUAUUAAAUACGGGACAAUAAUACAUAUAUAAUUAAACCAAAAUAUUUUGCUUGAGCUCAACACCCAUAACUAGGGUUUCCAUGUCUUUAAUUUGGGAAAGAUGAUAAAAUGAUGAUAUUUUAGUUUAUUUUAUUAUUUAUCAUCUUUUUAUCUUUUACUUUCCAAUUUAAUCCUUUUCUUUAUUUAAUUUUCCAUUGAUGACUAAUCAUACUUAUCUACUUACUCCUCUUAAUGGUCUAUUUUCCAUAUAAGGACCUUCAAUUUUGAAUUUCAUAACUAAUACCUAUAGCUGCUAUAACUCAACUUUUGCAUUUUAUGCAAUUUGGUCCUUUCCAUCUAAUUAGACAUGUAAUCGAUAAACUUUUUUUAACAAAAUUUUUAUAUGAUAUUCCUAUCAUACGAUGGACCAUGAAAUAAUAUUAAAAUAAAUUUUCUUUUGGACUCAGAUUUGUAGUCCCGAAACUACUGUUCCGAUUUCGUUGAAAACGGGCUGUUACAACUAUUACAUUCAACCAAAUAUAAGAAUACUAUUACAGUUCUAUUCCAUUACAUUUAACCAAACAAUUGAAUUAUUGAUUAUAGUUUUAUUCCAUUACAGCCUUAUUCUAUUACAACCAUAUUCAAUUCCAGUGAACUAAACAUGCCGUGAAAUUUUCAACAAAAAAAAGUGUUAAAUAAGUUAAGUAGAUAGAUAACUAUUUAUCAGAAAAUAUUAAGUUGAUUUUAUUUUAUUAAAAAAUUGAAAUAAAUUAUUUUUUUAAAAGAUGAGAUAUUCAAACUAACAUAUUAUCUUUUAUCCAAAACUAUCCAAAAUAAUAAAAAAUAUUAUAUUAACAAGAUUAAAAUAAAAUAAUAAAUAGUAUUUUAAAAAUUAAUAUUUACUUUUACGAAACAACAUAGUUUGUCAAUAUCAGACGAAUCUUGAUCCAAGAUACUGGCAAGCAGUAAAACAUAUACUCAAGUAUUUACAAAGAAUACUAAAUUAUAUGUUUAUGUAUUUUAGAGGAGACCAUACUCUUAAUGGUUAUACAGAUUCUGACUUCUAAAUGUGUCAGGAUUCGAGAAAAUCAACAUCAGACUGUGUCUUUGUCCUAUACGGCGGGUCAAUAGUGUGGAGAAAUGCCAAGCACAGUUGCACUGCUAAUUCUACUAUGGAGGCUGAAUAUGUGACUACUUUCGAGGCAAUAAAAGAAGUAAUAUGGCUUCAGAAGUUCCUUAUGGAUCUCGAAGUUGUUCUUGGUAAGGAAAAACUAUCGUAUUGUAUUGUGACAAUAGUGUUGCAAUAGCUAAAACCAAAGAAACCAGAAACCACAAGAGGGCAAAACAAGAGAUAGAAAGUAUCACAUCGUAUGGAAGGCAGUAGAAAAUGAAAUAUUGGAUGUAGUCAAAGUCACAUCAGAGGACAACCUUACGGAUUCUUUGCUAAGACUGUGGCGGCUAUGAGUUUUGAGAAACAUGUAGAGGGCAUGAGAAUACGAAAAAUGACUUAUUUACUUCACUAGGGCAAGUGAGAUAUUGUUAAGAUCUAGUACCCUUAAUGUAGUAUUUUCAUCCAUAUGUAUUAGUAAUUUUCAAACAAAUUGGUUUAAUAAAAAUAUUCAUCAAUUUCAUUAAUCUCUUUAUAUAUUGUCCUCUACGGCCUUUUUCAUGCAAAACAAAAUGAAAUAAAAUAUUGACUCAUUAAUUAUCUAACCUUUAACUAAUACUAAAUGGUGGAUCGUGAUACAAAAAAAUAACUUAUAUUACUAGAUAAUCUAAACACACUCUUGAUAAUAGGCUUAAUUAACAUAUUUUUAUUAUUUAUUUUAAUUAAUUUUGAACAUGAGCUCUACUGAUUUUGACAUUUUAUGGGUAAUUUUCUAUGUAGGUAUAAUAUUUUUUCAUGUGAAAAAAAUUGAGUUUGGGUUACAAGGAAAUUUUACGUGAGAACUAGGGUGGAGCCCACUAUUCCUAAAUUUUUAAGACUAUUUUAAUAAUGAUUUUAAAGGUCAACGAAAAAUUCAUAUAUUUUAUUUUAGGGUUUAUUAGUCUAUAUAUAUAUAAUAAAGGGAGGCGUUUUUACAACCACCCACCCAGAACCAUUGUCCCCUUUUUCUUAUUUAAUAAUUUUUUUUGCGUUAUUUUUGAGUUGCGAGACUUCGAAUUCACAUUUAAUGUUUUUUAGAUUGGUGUACAGCCCAAUUUGCCCGGGCCCACACUAAAUAAAAUCCAAACCAAUUAAACUAACCCACUAGCCCAACUAACCCAAUAACCUUCAGCCCAAACCAAGACCCAAGCCCAAAUACUAAGGGUCAAACUAGGGUUUCAGCUUUUCUGAAACCCUAGUGCCGCCGCACUCCACUUGCCCUGCCACCGCCGUUCUGCUGGCCGCCGCGCACGUCCCAUCGCCGCUCACCUGCUCCCAACCGCUCACCUGCAACACGCAACAUUAAGAAGCAAAAAUAGAGUAAAAAUAAAAAGAAAAAAGCUUGUAAAAGGCUAUAAAAAGCCAUUCGAAUCACUGUAAUGGGGGUUCCGCCCCUUCUUUCACGAUUUCAAGAAAUAAAAGCAAAAACAAAUUUGAGCAAAGAGAAAAAAACACAAGCAGUGAACGGAAAAGAAAAGCGAAGGUCUUUUAUUUUUUUUAUUUUUUCUUUACUUUCGAAACAGUUCAUAUACCCAUUCAUAUAUAUAUAUUUACUUUCUUCAAAAUAUAAAUAUAUACGAAAUUUUUUUUAAAAAAAAUUUACCUUUUCGAUUUUUCCGGCCACCGUGUAGGGUGGCCGGCCGGCGUUCCUCUGGCCGGAAAAUGGACUUGGUCCAGAGAGAAUAUCCCUCCCCCUUUUCUUUUUUUUCUCCUCAAUGCCCAAAUGAUUUUUUUUUCAGAAUAUUGCCUUUUAUACACUUGUGAAACGACGUUGUUUUGACCGGCGUUCUUAAGCCCCAAAACGUCGUAGUUUUGACUUGGGGCGGACUGACCCGACCCGAACCGCUUAGGAUCCGCGUGUUUUUAGAUUUGAGGGGUUAUUUGCGCCAUCAGUCCUUCCGCUUUUGAGACAGUUUACAAUUGGGUCCUAUCCCCUUUUAUUAUUUGUUUUAAUUUUGCCCCGGAGUUCCACAUCUGUUUCAAUUUGGUCCAGAGCCAUGUGUCUGGGCUUUGGUAGAAUGACACCGUUUAACUGAUAGGGGAUAAUUUCUUAGUUAGUCCUUCCUAUUUUUGCGCGAGUCACAAUUUAAUCCAUUUGUUUGUUUUCAGUUUUGAUUUUGCCCCUAUGAUUUAGUUUAUUUUCAGUUUAAUCCUUUUUUUUAUUUUUAGCUAUUUUAUUAUUAAAUUAACUAUUUUAAUCCUAUUACAACUAUUAUUAUAUUAUUAAUAUUAUUAUUAUCAUUAUUUACUCAUUUAUGUCUUGUUAAUUCCUAAUUUUGUUAUAUAUAUUGAUACGAGCCAAGGAGGUGACACUCAAAGGGUUGUCUUUCCUAGUGGUCCAAUCACUCGAAGCAAGGCACGACAAUUAAAAUCAAAGAUGAAUGCUUUUUUCCAAGACUUUGUUGCUACAAAUUUAAUUCAUCAUGUUCGUGACAUUGACAAAUACGAUAAUGCAAUUCACUGGACCAAUCUUGGAAUAGUGAAAGCCCAUAAAUUGGUGGAUUAAUCUUUUAUGUAUAUUAUUAUUAUUAUUUACUUAAUUCUCAUUGGUUGGGACACAUCAUUUAUGAGUUAAGUAAUUUUAUUGGGUAGGUUAUUAUUUAUUUAUUUUCUUAGAUAAUUUUAAAGAGUUUUAUUAGGAUUCAAUUACUCUUUAAAGAGUUUUUAUUACGAUUCAAUUACUCUUGUAAUUUGCCUAUAAAUAGGCUUGUUUUCUACACAUUGGAGACAGAAUGAAAAAAGAGAUUAUUUAUUUUCUUCCAAAUUUGUGUGAGGCAAAUUUUUGAGAGUAGAGUGAUUCUUCUCUUGCUAUUUAGUUUGGAGUUUGUUACUUUCGAGGGUAUUUCAGAGUUACAAAUAUUCAAAUUUCUUUCCCGUUCAUCGGUGUUUCUAGAGGUUCUUCUUCUAGGAGUUUUGUAGGGAGCCGCUCAAUCAUUGGCGUUUUUGGUUGCAAGUUAACCAAGGGUUCCAUAGGGCAAAUCUAUCCUUUUAUUAUUAUCAUUAUUAUUUAACUAAUUUAUUUAUUCUCGUUUUUAUUUCUAAUUUGUGUUUCUCUUGUGUCUAGAUCCGGGGUUUCCGCAUCAGUUGGUAUCAGUUUCAGGCGAUUCGGUGUUAUUUUCGAAGCUAAAAUCAAAUCCAAAAUGAGUCAAAAUACCUAAAACACUUUUCAUUGGUUUCUUCGAUUCUCUUUUUUGUGAAGUUUGUGUUUAUUCUCCUCUUAUUCUUUAAAAAAAACAAAAAAAGCGCAAAAAAAGUGAGUAAAAAGCGCAAAAAAAAGAAAAAAAAAAGCAAAAAGCAAAAAAGCGCAAAAAAGAAAAGUUGCCUACCUUUCAUACGUAGGUUUCUUCUUUUCCUAUUAUUGUUAUUAUUUUUAUUUUAUUUUUCCCAAAAUUGAAUUUUUUCCCCCUUCUUUUCUUAACUCAAGUAUAAUUAAAGCUUCAAUUUUUGAAAAUCUUAAGACACCAAAUGUUUCCGAUUUUUUGUUUUCCUUUAAAUUGGGUAGAGUUUUCUUAAGUUUUCUUCUUAUUAAAGCUUUUCUUUGACUCUAGAGUUAGGGAUCGUUGCAGGUUUACGUUUUUUUUUGUUUCUCUUACGUUUUCUAACACUUUGUUUCUUCUUGAGUUAGCAAAUAUUAAAGGCAUGCACAAUUCCUUCAUCCGUGUAGCCUCCAUUACAAAUUGCUUCGUCAAGUUUAUUGGCCUCUUAAAGCAAUUAGGAUCUUCAUUGUUUCUUUGAAGUUUGCACCUCCAUUAUUUGAUCUUGAUUAGUAACCCUCUCCAAACAUAUUUACAAGUUUUGAAUCAUUCAGAGAGUUAUUCUUUUGAGAGCUAACGAGUGAGGUUAUUAUUAUUUUUUUCUUGUUCCUGUUUGUGUGAUUUUUUCAUAGAUACCAUGCCGAUCACUAGAUCCCAAACUAGUAAAAAUAAAGAGGAUGAGCAAAAAAGAGAUAACGAUCCUUUGGUCGAGUUGUUACAAAAAGAGAUGAAAAAGUUGCAAACUCAAGUCGAACAUCGCAUGACCCAGAUGUUACAAGAGCAAAGGGAGUAUCUUGAUACAAAACUUACAACUCAAGAGAGAUACAUUGCCGAUAAUUACAAGAAGUUGAACGAAGCCUUUAUAAGCCGAUCAAAUUCGCGAGAUCGAACUUUUAAACAAAGGGAGGACCAUGUUUUUGAUGAUGACUUUGAGUCCGAGUAUGUACCUAAAGAAAGGGUGGAACGAAACAAUGACACCCCCAAACCAAAAUUUCCUUCUUUCUCAGGGAAGAAUGAUCCUGAUGCUUACCUUGAUUGGGAGGAAAAGAUGGAAGCAGUCUUUGCUUGUUACAAUUACUCUGAUGAGAAAAAGGUAACAUACGCUGUCACUGAGUUCAUUAAUUAUGCACUAACAUGGUGGAAUCAAUUAUGUAAAAGCAGGAUUCUUUAUAGAGAGCAACCUGUUACUACUUGGGUUGAAAUGAAGCGCAUCUUGCGAAAACGGUUUGUUCCACCAUACUAUUAUCCAGAACUCCAUCAAAGGCUCCAACAUCUUGUUCAAGGAUAUAGAUCUGUGGAUGACUACUACAAAGAGAUGGAGACUAUUCAGAUUAGAGCCAAUCUUGUUGAAGAGGCUGAGGUAACUAUGGCUAGAUUCCUUGCCGGCCUAAAGCCUGAGAUUACAAAUCGAGUUGAGUUACAACACUACAUGGAUGUUGAAGAGAUGCUUCAAACCGCACUCACCAUUGAAAAGCAAUUACGAAAUAAAGGGACACCGAGGGGUGCUAGUUCAGUUUCUAAUCCUGCUUGAAGAGAAAAUUGGCAAAAACAAGAUGAUAAAUUGUGGAAUGAGAGAGAUGCACGGUUCAAGCCAAAUGAGCCUAGAACUUACUCCAAAGAUAGAGGUAUGCCUAAUUCAUUUAAAGGUUCUACUUCUAUUAAUCAAGCUCCAUCUUCUUCUUCUACUUCUCCUAGUGCCAUUAAGCAGCCAAAAGAUAUUACUUGCUUCAAAUGCCAAGGAAUGGGUCACUAUGCUCGAGAAUGCCCUAAUAAAAAGUCAUUGGUGAUUCGAGAAGAUGGCGAGGUUGAUUUUGAGUCUGAUAACGAAGAUGAGAUGCCUCCUUUGGAAGAUGCUGAUGAUGUGCAUACUCAUGAUGAGUAUGAAGAAUACUUGGAGUAUGGUGAGAAAGCACUUGUUGCUCGAAGGGCUUUAAAUGUCCAGUUUAAAGAGGAAUGGAGCGAACAAAGAGAUAACAUUUUCCACACGAGAUGUUUGAUUGGUGGACAACCUAGUUCAUUGAUCAUCGAUAGUGGAAGUUGCACCAAUGUGGUAAGUUCUUCCCUUGUUGAGAAACUUGGCCUACCUUGUGUGAAGCAUCCAAGGCCAUACCGCUUGCAAUGGCUGAAUGAUAGUAGGGAGGUAAAAGUAUCUAAACAAUGCUUAGUUUCAUUUUCCAUUGGUAGAUACUCUGAUAAAGUUUUGUGUGAUGUUGUUCCAAUGCAAGCUGGGCACAUAUUACUUGGACGACCUUGGCAGUUUGAUCGACGAGUAAAUCAUGAUGGUUUCCUUAACCAAUAUACCUUUGUGUUCCUUGGAAAGAAGUUUACUUUGGCUCCACUUCCUUCUUAAGAAGUCGACAAUGAUCAACUCAAACUUGCUAGUGAGAUGGGUAAGGGAAGUGAGGUAAAAUCAUUGAAAAAGGCUGAGAGUAAAGAGGCCCUUAGUGUUAAAAGCCAACUUAAAGGCCCAACAUUGGUGAGUGAUUGCACACACAAGUCACGAGAUGAGAAAGUGAGUUUAUUCGCUAGGUUUCGAGAUAUUAAAUUUGCUCCUUGUACAAAACAAACAUUUGUAAUUAUUAGGUUUAGGGAAAACUUUGUUUUGACUAACCCUAAUACACAUUUGCCUAGUUGUUUUGUUGAUAUUUUG